This 119-nucleotide long non-coding RNA is filed under the name Takifugu rubripes (torafugu). RNAcentral describes it as "lncRNA (ENSTRUG00000029485.1)". Lineage: Eukaryota; Metazoa; Chordata; Actinopteri; Tetraodontiformes; Tetraodontidae. The record is from RNAcentral.
UUCAGAACCAUUUCUCCUCCCAGCCCUGAAUCAACGUGAACGCCGUGUGGACACCGAACACAUAGCUCGGCCUCAUAACAUGACAGCAGAACAGGUGACUCACAGACGAACCUGAUAUC